CUGUAUCCUGGAGUUCCUCUGAACGCUUCAUAUGAAGGGUUAGUUAGUGUACAACUUUCUUCACCUGAAGUGUUUGGGGGAACUCUUGGCUUCCA
Molecule: microRNA precursor, 95 nt
Filed under: Phaseolus vulgaris (common bean)
Lineage: Eukaryota; Viridiplantae; Streptophyta; Magnoliopsida; Fabales; Fabaceae
Description: pre miRNA mir-395
Rfam family: mir-395 microRNA precursor family
About the family: mir-395 was identified in both Arabidopsis thaliana and Oryza sativa computationally and was later experimentally verified. mir-395 is thought to target mRNAs coding for ATP sulphurylases.
Source: Rfam by way of RNAcentral